CCGGGGUGGUGAAGUGGAAUCACGCCGUGGUGAGAAUAGCCAGGAGAACGCCAGUCCGAAUCUGGCCCCCGGCU
Molecule: transfer RNA, 74 nt
Filed under: Dehalococcoidia bacterium
Lineage: Bacteria; Bacillati; Chloroflexota; Dehalococcoidia
Description: tRNA-OTHER
Source: RNAcentral